CAUUCCCUGCCUGCCUGCCCCCAGCCAGUUCCCUGCCCUGGGGCCGAUCAGACCAGCACCCCCCAGAGGGGACAGGCUGUAUACGUCAGUUCUCUUUCCCAGGAGCCAUCUGGUCCCCCUAGACUGGCCAGCAGCAGGGGGAUGUGGCUGCAGACUCUAGCGAGCGGGGUGGGAGCUGUGGAGGGGGGUCUGCAUUAGCACAGGGCUAGGACCCAAGCCCCCCUCACCAAGGGAUCAGUCCCCCUGCCCCCCCCCCGACUUUUCAGCAGCAAUUUCCCCUUGCCAUGCAGGAAAAAGAAAACCAGAGAUUGGCUGAGACCAUUCAGGAGCUGGAGGGAAAGAUCUCCAAGCAGAGAGCGUGGGAGAAGACCCACAAGCAGGCUCUGCAGCAGCUGCGGGUGCAGG
This 405-nucleotide long non-coding RNA is filed under the name Gopherus agassizii (Agassiz's desert tortoise). Its description in RNAcentral is "lncRNA (ENSGAGG00000000699.1)". Lineage: Eukaryota; Metazoa; Chordata; Testudines; Testudinidae. The record is from RNAcentral.